RNAcentral lists this ribosomal RNA (494 nucleotides) under Deltaproteobacteria bacterium. RNAcentral's name for it is "bacterial SSU rRNA". It matches the Rfam family "Bacterial small subunit ribosomal RNA", at positions 1045 to 1533 of the family's 1533-position model. RNAcentral also lists the same sequence under 1 other name. The record is from RNAcentral. Lineage: Bacteria; Pseudomonadati; Myxococcota; Myxococcia.
AUGGCUGUCGUCAGCUCGUGCCGUGAGGUGUUGGGUUAAGUCCCGCAACGAGCGCAACCCCUAUCCUCUGUUGCCCCGCAAGGGGAUCUCUGAGGAAACUGCCGGCGAAGAGCUGGAGGAAGGUGGGGACGACGUCAAGUCAUCAUGGCCCUUAUGUCCAGGGCUACACACGUGCUACAAUGGCGGCUACAGAGGGUAGCAAGACCGCGAGGUGGAGCCAAUCCCUAAAAGCCGUCUCAGUUGGGAUCGGAGUCUGCAACUCGACUCCGUGAACGUGGAAUCGCUAGUAAUCGUGGAUCAGCAACGCCACGGUGAAUACGUUCCCGGGCCUUGUACACACCGCCCGUCACACCACGAAAGCCGGUUGCACCCGAAACUGGUGGGCUAACCCCUUCGGGGGAGGCAGCCAACUAAGGUGUGGUUGGUGAUUGGGGUGAAGUCGUAACAAGGUAGCCGUAGGGGAACCUGCGGCUGGAUCACCUCCUUUCUAAGGA